GUGAGUAGGAGUAUGAGGAGGUGCCGUAUUGGCGGACCCCAUCGGAGAUUAGAUCCGAUUGGCCGGGGAGGUUGUAGCGGCCGUGGACGUGGCCGCAGAGGAUUAGGAUGGAGAGGAGGAGGAGGAGUCUGGACAUGGCUGGCUGGAGUGAAGUGGGGCUUCAACAGCAGCGGGACAUAGUGAGACUUGAGAAACGAGGCGGAUGAAAAGGGGGAGAUUUGAUCGUGUGAGGUGGCGACAGGUGAGAGAUAUAGAAGGGGAAAGAGCGCGUUCAGUGUGGGAGACGUGUCGGGGUGUUACGGUGGGGACGAUUUGGUUAGCG
This 322-nucleotide long non-coding RNA is filed under the name Rosa chinensis. RNAcentral describes it as "sRNA RchiOBHm_Chr5g0031611". The record is from RNAcentral. Lineage: Eukaryota; Viridiplantae; Streptophyta; Magnoliopsida; Rosales; Rosaceae.